AGAGUGAACGCUGGCGGUAGGCCUAACACAUGCAAGUCGAACGGCAGCACAGUGGUAGCAAUACCAUGGGUGGCGAGUGGCGGACGGGUGAGGAAUACAUCGGAAUCUACCUUUUCGUGGGGGAUAACGUAGGGAAACUUACGCUAAUACCGCAUACGCCCUUUGGGGGAAAGCCGGGGAUCGCAAGACCUGGCGCGGAUAGAUGAGCCGAUGUCGGAUUAGCUAGUUGGUGAGGUAAUGGCUCACCAAGGCGACGAUCCGUAGCUGGUCUGAGAGGAUGAUCAGCCACACUGGAACUGAGACACGGUCCAGACUCCUACGGGAGCAGCAGUGGGGAAUAUUGGACAAAUGGGCGCAAAGCCUGAUCCAGCCAUACCGCGU
This 381-nucleotide ribosomal RNA is filed under the name uncultured soil bacterium. RNAcentral's name for it is "bacterial SSU rRNA". It matches the Rfam family "Bacterial small subunit ribosomal RNA", at positions 26 to 402 of the family's 1533-position model. The record is from RNAcentral.